Molecule: ribosomal RNA, 253 nt
Filed under: uncultured bacterium
Lineage: Bacteria
Description: partial 16S ribosomal RNA
Rfam family: Bacterial small subunit ribosomal RNA
Source: RNAcentral
UACAGAGGGUGCAAGCGUUGUUCGGAUUUACUGGGCGUAAAGCGAGCGUAGGCGGUCUGAUAAGUCAGGUGUGAAAGCCCUGGGCUCAACCCAGGAAGUGCACUUGAAACUGCCAGGCUAGAGUGUCGGAGAGGUUGGUGGAAUUCUCGGUGUAGAGGUGAAAUUCGUAGAUAUCGAGAGGAACACCGGUGGCGAAGGCGGCCAACUGGACGAAUACUGACGCUCAUGCACGAAAGCGUGGGGAGCAAACAGG